UACGUAGGUGGCAAGCGUUAUCCGGAUUUAUUGGGCGUAAAGGGAACGCAGGCGGUCUUUUAAGUCUGAUGUGAAAGCCUUCGGCUUAACCGGAGUAGUGCAUUGGAAACUGGGAGACUUGAGUGCAGAAGAGGAGAGUGGAACUCCAUGUGUAGCGGUGAAAUGCAUAGAUAUCACACAGAACACCGAUUGCGAAGGCAUCUCACGAAUCCGCGAUUGACGCUGAUGCACGAAAGCGUGGGUAUCAAACAGG
RNAcentral lists this ribosomal RNA (253 nucleotides) under uncultured Lactobacillus sp. RNAcentral describes it as "partial 16S ribosomal RNA". It matches the Rfam family "Bacterial small subunit ribosomal RNA", at positions 524 to 776 of the family's 1533-position model. The record is from RNAcentral. Lineage: Bacteria; Bacillati; Bacillota; Bacilli; Lactobacillales; Lactobacillaceae.